This 834-nucleotide ribosomal RNA is filed under the name Janthinobacterium lividum. Its description in RNAcentral is "bacterial SSU rRNA". It matches the Rfam family "Bacterial small subunit ribosomal RNA", at positions 68 to 899 of the family's 1533-position model. Lineage: Bacteria; Pseudomonadati; Pseudomonadota; Betaproteobacteria; Burkholderiales; Oxalobacteraceae. The record is from RNAcentral.
GGCAGCACGGACUUGCUCUGGUGGCGAGUGGCGAACGGGUGAGUAAUAUAUCGGAACGUACCCUAGAGUGGGGGAUAACGUAGCGAAAGUUACGCUAAUACCGCAUACGAUCUAAGGAUGAAAGUGGGGGAUCGCAAGACCUCAUGCUCGUGGAGCGGCCGAUAUCUGAUUAGCUAGUUGGUAGGGUAAAAGCCUACCAAGGCAUCGAUCAGUAGCUGGUCUGAGAGGACGACCAGCCACACUGGAACUGAGACACGGUCCAGACUCCUACGGGAGGCAGCAGUGGGGAAUUUUGGACAAUGGGCGAAAGCCUGAUCCAGCAAUGCCGCGUGAGUGAAGAAGGCCUUCGGGUUGUAAAGCUCUUUUGUCAGGGAAGAAACGGUGAGAGCUAAUAUCUUUUGCUAAUGACGGUACCUGAAGAAUAAGCACCGGCUAACUACGUGCCAGCAGCCGCGGUAAUACGUAGGGUGCAAGCGUUAAUCGGAAUUACUGGGCGUAAAGCGUGCGCAGGCGGUUUUGUAAGUCUGAUGUGAAAUCCCCGGGCUCAACCUGGGAAUUGCAUUGGAGACUGCAAGGCUAGAAUCUGGCAGAGGGGGGUAGAAUUCCACGUGUAGCAGUGAAAUGCGUAGAUAUGUGGAGGAACACCGAUGGCGAAGGCAGCCCCCUGGGUCAAGAUUGACGCUCAUGCACGAAAGCGUGGGGAGCAAACAGGAUUAGAUACCCUGGUAGUCCACGCCCUAAACGAUGUCUACUAGUUGUCGGGUCUUAAUUGACUUGGUAACGCAGCUAACGCGUGAAGUAGACCGCCUGGGGAGUACGGUCGCAAGAUUAAAA